Molecule: long non-coding RNA, 613 nt
Organism: Jaculus jaculus (lesser Egyptian jerboa)
Lineage: Eukaryota; Metazoa; Chordata; Mammalia; Rodentia; Dipodidae
Exons: 3
Source: RefSeq, a predicted model, not a curated record
UGGCGGACGUGGGAAGGAGCGAAGAUGGCGGAGUGAGGCGUGUCCCUGCCGGUUGGCCUCUGGGCCCGGGCGGGUGGUUCCGAGAGGCCGAAUGCGCCUGCUGGAUCGGGUGCGGUGAGCUGAGGAAGCUGUCCACCGCCCGGCCGGGGCCGGGGUGCCCGGGAGCCGACGGACCUGCGCCAGCCCGGGCUUCCUCCGCUGCCCCCGGCGGGCGCCUUCCGGGUGUGCGGCUCGUGAGGCCCCUCCUCCCGGCCGGCCCGCCCUUCUGUGCGGCUGCUUUUGUACCUUCGCCCCGCUCGGGAUUGCGCUGCUGCCCCCCGUUUUUUAAGACGAUCAGCUUGGCUUGGUUUCUUUUGGUCCUCGUCGAGUCUCGGUUGCCCAAGGCGUCUUCAGUGAAGGAACUUUUUCACAUGAUAAAUAUUUUCCUGACCUUGGGUGCUGUUAUAUUUAUCUCAAAACAAAAUUCUGAACUCAGGACAUAGAAAGAAGCAUGUCUUCUCAGUGGCUAGUCCUGAUUCUUUAAUCCAGCCACUUUCCCUGGUGAAAUGUGGGUGUCUCUCGACAUAUUACCUCAUUGGUUUGGAAGAAGAGGAUGGCUUUUCUUUUGUCAGAU